RNAcentral lists this ribosomal RNA (433 nucleotides) under uncultured bacterium. RNAcentral describes it as "partial 16S ribosomal RNA". It matches the Rfam family "Bacterial small subunit ribosomal RNA", at positions 29 to 507 of the family's 1533-position model. The record is from RNAcentral.
AGCGAACGCUGGCGGCAGGCCUAACACAUGCAAGUCGAACGAACUCUUCGGAGUUAGUGGCGGACGGGUGAGUAACACGUGGGAACGUGCCUUUAGGUUCGGAAUAACUCAGGGAAACUUGUGCUAAUACCGAAUGUGCCCUUCGGGGGAAAGAUUUAUCGCCUUUAGAGCGGCCCGCGUCUGAUUAGCUAGUUGGUGAGGUAAAGGCUCACCAAGGCGACGAUCAGUAGCUGGUCUGAGAGGAUGAUCAGCCACAUUGGGACUGAGACACGGCCCAAACUCCUACGGGAGGCAGCAGUGGGGAAUCUUGCGCAGUGGGCGAAAGCCUGACGCAGCCAUGCCGCGUGAAUGAUGAAGGUCUUAGGAUUGUAAAAUUCUUUCACCGGGGACGAUAAUGACGGUACCCGGAGAAGAAGCCCCGGCUAACUUCGUG